This 528-nucleotide ribosomal RNA is filed under the name Cladosporium perangustum. RNAcentral describes it as "partial 18S ribosomal RNA". The stretch from base 216 to 368 matches the Rfam family "5.8S ribosomal RNA". The record is from RNAcentral. Lineage: Eukaryota; Fungi; Ascomycota; Dothideomycetes; Cladosporiales; Cladosporiaceae.
AUUAGAGGAAGUAAAAGUCGUAACAAGGUCUCCGUAGGUGAACCUGCGGAGGGAUCAUUACAAGUGACCCCGGUUUACCACCGGGAUGUUCAUAACCCUUUGUUGUCCGACUCUGUUGCCUCCGGGGCGACCCUGCCUUCGGGCGGGGGCUCCGGGUGGACACUUCAAACUCUUGCGUAACUUUGCAGUCUGAGUAAACUUAAUUAAUAAAUUAAAACUUUUAACAACGGAUUCUUGGUUCUGGCAUCGAUGAAGAACGCAGCGAAAUGCGAUAAGUAAUGUGAAUUGCAGAAUUCAGUGAAUCAUCGAAUCUUUGAACGCACAUUGCGCCCCCUGGUAUUCCGGGGGGCAUGCCUGUUCGAGCGUCAUUUCACCACUCAAGCCUCGCUUGGUAUUGGCAACGCGGUCCGCCGCGUGCCUCAAAUCGACCGGCUGGGUCUUCUGUCCCCUAAGCGUUGUGGAAACUAUUCGCUAAAGGGUGCUCGGGAGGCUACGCCGUAAAACAACCCCAUUUCUAAGGUUGACCUC